This 472-nucleotide ribosomal RNA is filed under the name uncultured Alteromonas sp. Its description in RNAcentral is "bacterial SSU rRNA". It matches the Rfam family "Bacterial small subunit ribosomal RNA", at positions 870 to 1348 of the family's 1533-position model. The record is from RNAcentral. Lineage: Bacteria; Pseudomonadati; Pseudomonadota; Gammaproteobacteria; Alteromonadales; Alteromonadaceae.
CGCCUGGGGAGUACGGCCGCAAGGUUAAAACUCAAAUGAAUUGACGGGGGCCCGCACAAGCGGUGGAGCAUGUGGUUUAAUUCGAUGCAACGCGAAGAACCUUACCUACACUUGACAUGCAGGGAACUUUCUAGAGAUAGAUUGGUGCCUUCGGGAACUCUGACACAGGUGCUGCAUGGCUGUCGUCAGCUCGUGUCGUGAGAUGUUGGGUUAAGUCCCGCAACGAGCGCAACCCUUGUCCUUAGUUGCCAGCAUUAAGUUGGGCACUCUAAGAGACUGCCGGUGACAAACCGGAGAAGGUGGGGACGACGUCAAGUCAUCAUGGCCCUUACGUGUAGGGCUACACACGUGCUACAAUGGCAUUUACAGAGGGAAGCGAGACAGUGAUGUGGAGCGGACCCCUUAAAGAAUGUCGUAGUCCGGAUUGGAGUCUGCACUCGACUCCAUGAAGUCGAAUCGCUAGUAUCGCAGU